GACGAACGCUGGCGGCGUGCUUAACACAUGCAAGUCGAACGGAAAGGCCCUGCUUUUGUGGGGUGCUCGAGUGGCGAACGGGUGAGUAACACGUGAGUAACCUGCCCUUGACUUUGGGAUAACUUCAGGAAACUGGGGCUAAUACCGGAUAGGAGCUCCUGCUGCAUGGUGGGGGUUGGAAAGUUUCGGCGGUUGGGGAUGGACUCGCGGCUUAUCAGCUUGUUGGUGGGGUAGUGGCUUACCAAGGCUUUGACGGGUAGCCGGCCUGAGAGAGUGACCGGCAACAUUGGGACUGAGAUACGGCCCAGACUCCUACGGGAGGCAGCAGUGGGGAAUAUUGCACAAUGGGCGGAAGCCUGAUGCAGCAACGCCGCGUGCGGGAUGACGGCCUUCGGGUUGUAAACCGCUUUCGCCUGUGACGAAGCGUGAGUGACGGUAAUGGGUAAAGAAGCACCGGCUAACUACGU
RNAcentral lists this ribosomal RNA (467 nucleotides) under uncultured bacterium. RNAcentral describes it as "partial 16S ribosomal RNA". It matches the Rfam family "Bacterial small subunit ribosomal RNA", at positions 28 to 506 of the family's 1533-position model. The record is from RNAcentral.